CAGCAGCCGCGGUAAUACGUAUGUCACAAGCGUUAUCCGGAUUUAUUGGGCGUAAAGCGCGUCUAGGUGGUUAUGUAAGUCUGAUGUGAAAAUGCAGGGCUCAACUCUGUAUUGCGUUGGAAACUGUGUAACUAGAGUACUGGAGAGGUAAGCGGAACUACAAGUGUAGAGGUGAAAUUCGUAGAUAUUUGUAGGAAUGCCGAUGGGGAAGCCAGCUUACUGGACAGAUACUGACGCUAAAGCGCGAAAGCGUGGGUAGCGAACAGGAUUAGAGACCCCGGUAGUCCCUGUCUCUUAUACA
RNAcentral lists this ribosomal RNA (301 nucleotides) under uncultured bacterium. Its description in RNAcentral is "partial 16S ribosomal RNA". It matches the Rfam family "Bacterial small subunit ribosomal RNA", at positions 509 to 808 of the family's 1533-position model. The record is from RNAcentral.